GGGAUUCAAUCUCCCAGGAUUUAGCUUUGAUCAUCCCUUAACCCAGAGCAUGGCCCUGGGGGUCUGAUUUACACCCACUAGUGUGGCCGUUCAGGGGUGAGAAUCACAGCGGGAAGGGUCGAAAGUCUAGAGGACUGUGAUUGGGGAUGAGAGCCAAGAUUGGGAAUACAAAGAAACUGAGGACUUUGCUAUUAGGAAAGGUCUGAUGUGUUUAGUGCUUUGUGACAUGAUGUGUUAUCCAGCUGCAAGCGGCCAUGACAAGACAUAAUGAGGCUAUAUAUGAGGGGUGCACAUGUUCUGCAACGAUAUCCAGAAGUACAACCUGGAGUGGUCAAUUGCUGUUGUACCUAAUCAUCUUAGGUUUCAUUCAAGAACUGCCACUUACUGGAUGCCUUCUGUUGUUCGCAACAUUCUCUGCAGUCCCUAGAGACUCCAGUGCAUAAAUAAUCCCCAGAUAUCAGCAGUUUCUAAGAUAAAGAUUACAUUUCGUCUCAGUUCUGAUGUCUAGUCUGAACAAUGACUGAACCACUUGAUUGUGUGUAUGUCCCAGUCACCCCUAGUGCCAUGCAACUUGAACUCUGGCAUUUUUAAAUCUUAAUGAACAAUAAAAAGACUUAAGUCAUGAA
Molecule: long non-coding RNA, 626 nt
Organism: Carassius carassius (crucian carp)
Lineage: Eukaryota; Metazoa; Chordata; Actinopteri; Cypriniformes; Cyprinidae
Exons: 4
Source: RefSeq, a predicted model, not a curated record